This 460-nucleotide ribosomal RNA is filed under the name uncultured bacterium. Its description in RNAcentral is "partial 16S ribosomal RNA". It matches the Rfam family "Bacterial small subunit ribosomal RNA", at positions 338 to 795 of the family's 1533-position model. The record is from RNAcentral.
CCUACGGGUGGCAGCAGUGAGGAAUAUUGGUCAAUGGGCGCUAGACUGAACCAGCCAAGUAGCGUGAAGGAUGACUGCCCUAUGGGUUGUAAACUUCUUUUAUAUGGGAAUAAAGUGCAGUAUGUAUACUGCUUUGCAUGUACCUUAUGAAUAAGGAUCGGCUAACUCCGUGCCAGCAGCCGCGGUAAUACGGAGGAUCCGAGCGUUAUCCGGAUUUAUUGGGUUUAAAGGGAGCGUAGGCGGGUUGUUAAGUCAGUUGUGAAAGUUUGCGGCUAAACCGUAAAAUUGCAGUUGAUACUGGCAGCCUUGAGUACGGGAGAGGUAGGCGGAAUUCGUGGUGUAGCGGUGAAAUGCUUAGAUAUCACGAAGAACUCCGAUUGCGAAGGCAGCCUGCUGGACUGUAACUGACGCUGAGGCUCGAAAGUGUGGGUAUCAAACAGGAUUAGAUACCCUUGUAGUC